AGUGAACGCUGGCGGCAGGCCUAACACAUGCAAGUCGAGCGGCAGCGCGGGGGCAACCCUGGCGGCGAGCGGCGGACGGGUGAGGAAUUCGUCGGAAUCUGCCUUUUUGUGGGGGAUAACGUAGGGAAACUUACGCUAAUACCGCAUACGUCCUACGGGAGAAAGUGGGGGACCGCAAGGCCUCACGCAGAAAGAUGAGCCGACGACCGAUUAGCUAGUUGGUGGGGUAAAGGCCCACCAAAGCGACGAUCGGUAGCUGGUCUGAGAGGAUGAUCAGCCACACUGGGACUGAGACACGGCCCAGACUCCUACGGGAGGCAGCAGUGGGGAAUAUUGGACAAUGGGCGCAAGCCUGAUCCAGCCAUGCCGCGUGUGUGAAGAAGGCCUUCGGGUUGUAAAGCACUUUUGUCCGGAAAGAAAUCCCUGGAGCUAAUACCUUCGGGGGAUGACGGUACCGGAAGAAUAAGCACCGGCUAACUUCGUG
Molecule: ribosomal RNA, 484 nt
Filed under: uncultured bacterium
Lineage: Bacteria
Description: partial 16S ribosomal RNA
Rfam family: Bacterial small subunit ribosomal RNA
Source: RNAcentral